RNAcentral lists this ribosomal RNA (584 nucleotides) under Calacarus carinatus. RNAcentral's name for it is "partial 28S ribosomal RNA". The record is from RNAcentral. Lineage: Eukaryota; Metazoa; Arthropoda; Arachnida; Trombidiformes; Eriophyidae.
AAAUAGAACUUUGCAGAGAGAGUUAAGAGGGCGUGAAACCGUUAAUUGGCAAACGAAUCGGAGCCACGAAGUCGUUUCGUCGAGCUAGGUCGGGUUCAGCUUGCAACCUUCGGGUUGCUGGCGUAUUCUCGUGCCAAGCCAAUGUAAGCGUACACUGCAACCAGUUAGACAAUUGUCCAUGGAACCAGUUGAUCUUGGAUGCGCAAGCAUCUAAGUUUAGCGAACGGUUUGUUUGGUCAGGUUAGUAGUAGUGUGCUGUGGACUUGUCCUCAGUGUGCUGCUGGAUCUGUUGCCAAGUGACCUAUGGGCAAAUACUGACUGGCAAAAUGAAAAUCGCGCGCAAGCGUGUGCACAAAUUGCGCCUUGUUGUAUGAUAGGCUACACAAUCCACCGUGGAUAUAUUAAAGUGCGGUGCUUUUGAAUUUGGACUUGCUAGCUACCAAUGGGGCAACUCUUGGUGCUAGUAUAGCUUCCAUCUAAUCGGGUGCUGGCUUGUAUUCACGUCGUUGUGGUUGUGCUACGAUCGGUCUACAUAUAAGCGAGUGCGUGAAAAUUGGCAGUGAGUAGGUCGGCUUUCCGAACGA